Molecule: small nuclear RNA, 105 nt
Organism: Vulpes vulpes (red fox)
Lineage: Eukaryota; Metazoa; Chordata; Mammalia; Carnivora; Canidae
Source: Ensembl
GUGCCUGCUUUAGCAACACUUGCCCUAAAAUUGAACAAUAUAGGGAAGAUUAGCAUAGCCUUUGCACGAGGAUAUCACAAAAUUCAUGAAGCAUUCCAUAUUUUU